UGGUUCAACUUCCAAGGCUUCAAUAUCCGACGUGAUCUCUAAGCGGUAGACGUAUACUGGUGAGAUUAGCGCCCUCUAGUGCCUGGAGGUUGCAAGCACCUGUAUUGGAACAAACAGCAGUUUGUCCCUUUUUGCAAAACAAGCAGUUCCAUCCCUCUCCACACUCUUUUCAUCACAAAAGCUUCCAUGCCCGCGUCACUGAGAUGCCAAAUGCCACUUUCCUGGGGCUCAGCCACUGCGCCUUUGUUAGGGGAUUGCAUGCGAACAAAGAGUGAAUAAACAGCGGUUUGAAAAUAGCUACCUAAGGGAAGGCUCUUAAAGGAGCCCCGACGCUGACUCACAAAGGGAGCUCUUGUUCCUGAUUACUUUCUGCAAACUGAACAUUCCCGGCUCACGUCAUGCCGGAGAGUAGAAAUUCUGGGAAAGCGGCCAAAUUUGGAAGCCCAGAAUCCGUAGGACCCUUCUCUGCGGUUAGAGCGUGUCCCGUGACAUCUAUUCCCUGUCUUGGUUGCUCCAUUCCUGGCAGGAGAGGGGUUAACAGUCUAGAUAUGUAAUUAAAUUAUGGUGCUUAUAAAAUA
This is a long non-coding RNA of Xenopus laevis (African clawed frog), 578 nucleotides long. RefSeq lists it as uncharacterized. The record is from RefSeq and is a predicted model, not a curated record. The transcript is spliced from 2 exons. Lineage: Eukaryota; Metazoa; Chordata; Amphibia; Anura; Pipidae.